GGGCUCCUCUUCAUCUUGGUAUGAGUUUACUUUUUGGCUCUCUUUACUCUCGCAUCCUGCCUCUCGCUCACUCUCUUCUCUUACAAGUCACGAAUAGAAAGAGGAAAAGGUCGAGGAGGAUGAGGAUGAGGGAUUCGAUGAUGAGCAUGGGAAGAAGCAGAGUAUAAGCAAAAGCAUUCCAGAAUAUGAUAUUGCUAUCGUUGGAGGUGGCAUGGUUGGCAUGGCUUUAGCUUGUUUCUUAGUUUCAGGGCCUGAUUGCUAUCCUUGGAGGGGCUAUGUUUGGUUAACUAUUUGUGUGGCAGCUUGAUGAGUUUCUUUUUUUCUUUUCUGUCAUGGGAAUUGAACCUGGUUAACUAUAUUGGAUUACAUCAUGGGCUGGGUAUUAAGUUGCAGCAGUGAAACACGUAUAAUUCUAUUGUGCUCUCAUGUCCAAAGACUAUGUUUGCUUCUGUUGGUGGCAGAUACUUUUGGGGGCUUGUUACUGAUGCAGUUAGGGUUUUUUGGUGGAUGAGAGUAUGAAUGAUGGAAGAAAGGAUGCAACAACUACCAAUGCCAACCCCAAAUCAAGAGGAGUUAGAAACUGAUGAGUCAGAGAAUGAGGAGGAUCUUGGUGCUUUUCCAUGAAAACUUUGUCAAGCUUUGUUUCUAUAUUUAAUGUAAUAGACUAUGUUUAAUGUAAUAGUAAUCUACUAGACUAGUUUAAGUAGUUCAUGGUAUACUUUUUGUGAUGAUUCAGUGAUGAAUUUAGGUGGAUAUGUUAAGAUUGUGUGUUUUGUGAUGAUUCAAUGAUGAUUAUGGUUA
Long non-coding RNA from Lotus japonicus, 801 nucleotides. RefSeq lists it as uncharacterized. The record is from RefSeq and is a predicted model, not a curated record. The transcript has 4 exons. NCBI's taxonomy places the organism in Eukaryota, Viridiplantae, Streptophyta, Magnoliopsida, Fabales, Fabaceae.